UACCCUGUUCAGAGUAUGUGAGGAUUGAUUUCAUCUCUACGUUCUAUCUAAGUUUGGGGUUACUGUUGGAAUAACAACCUUUAAGUUUGGGGUAGCUUUGCAGUAAGUGAAUAGUAAGUCAAUGUAGUAAAAAAAAAAGAAAAAAAAAAGAAAAAAAGAAAAGAAAAAAAAAAGAAAAAACAACAACAACAUGAAAAGAAAGAAAGAGAAAAGCGAAAAACAAUAAGAAUAGCUUUUGAAAAAUGCUACAUUCACUAUAGAAAAAAGGAAAAGAGGAUUACAAAACCCU
Molecule: long non-coding RNA, 289 nt
Filed under: Lathyrus oleraceus (garden pea)
Lineage: Eukaryota; Viridiplantae; Streptophyta; Magnoliopsida; Fabales; Fabaceae
Description: Pisum sativum (pea) long non-coding RNA (PSAT_LNC002523)
Source: RNAcentral